GACGAACGCUGGCGGCGUGCCUAACACAUGCAAGUCGAACGGAAAGGCCCUGCUCUUGCGGGGUGCUCGAUUGGCGCACGCGUGUGUAACACGUGGGUAACCUGCCCUUGACUUUGGGAUAACUUCAGGAAACUGGGGCUAAUACCGGAUAGGAGCUCCUGCUGCAUGGUGGGGGUUGGAAAGUUUCGGCGGUUGGGGAUGGUCUCGCGGCUUAUCCGCUUGUUGGUCGGGUAGUUGCUUACGAAGCCUUUGACGGGUAGCCGGCCUGAGAGGGUGACCGGGGACAAUGGGACUAAGGUAGGGCGCAGUCUGCUACGGGAGGCAGCGGUGGGGAAUAUUGCAGAAUGAGCGGAAGCGUGAUGCGGCAGCGCCGCGAUCGUGAUGACGGCCUUCGGGUUGUAAACCGCUUUCGCCGGUGACGAAGCGUGAGUGACGGUAAUGGGUAAAGAAGCAACGGCUAACUACGUG
RNAcentral lists this ribosomal RNA (468 nucleotides) under uncultured bacterium. Its description in RNAcentral is "partial 16S ribosomal RNA". It matches the Rfam family "Bacterial small subunit ribosomal RNA", at positions 28 to 507 of the family's 1533-position model. The record is from RNAcentral.